Molecule: ribosomal RNA, 694 nt
Filed under: uncultured bacterium
Lineage: Bacteria
Description: bacterial SSU rRNA
Rfam family: Bacterial small subunit ribosomal RNA
Source: RNAcentral
AACGCUAGCUACAGGCUUAACACAUGCAAGUCGCGGGGCAGCAUUUUCUUAGCUUGCUAAGGAAGAUGGCGACCGGCGCACGGGUGAGUAACGCGUAUCCAACCUUCCCAUGUCCACGGGAUAGCCCGUCGAAAGGCGGAUUAAUAUCGUAUGAGGUCACAUGCGGGCAUCUAAUUGUGACGAAAGGUUUGGCGGACAUGGAUGGGGAUGCGUCCGAUUAGCUUGUUGGCGGGGUAACGGCCCACCAAGGCGACGAUCGGUAGGGGUUCUGAGAGGAAGGUCCCCCACAUUGGAACUGAGACACGGUCCAAACUCCUACGGGAGGCAGCAGUGAGGAAUAUUGGUCAAUGGACGUAAGUCUGAACCAGCCAAGUAGCGUGCAGGAUGACGGCCCUAUGGGUUGUAAACUGCUUUUAUAAGGGAAUAAAGUGAGUCUCGUGAGACUUUUUGCAUGUACCUUAUGAAUAAGGACCGGCUAAUUCCGUGCCAGCAGCCGCGGUAAUACGGAAGGUCCGGGCGUUAUCCGGAUUUAUUGGGUUUAAAGGGAGCGUAGGCCGUCGUUUAAGCGUGUUGUGAAAUGCCGCGGCUCAACCGUAGCACUGCAGCGCGAACAGGAUGACUUGAGUUCGCGGGAGGUAGGCGGAAUUCGUGGUGUAGCGGUGAAAUGCUUAGAUAUCACGAAGAACUCCGAUUG